CAGAGACUGGAGGGAAGGACCUGCAGGAGCCAGGGUGCCCACUGAGCUGCAGUUGCAGCUGUUGCUGCUAUCACGCUUCCUCUGCUACCCUCUCAGUCGCUGUCAGCGCCUAUCGGAGGAGUGACAGCUCUGCAAGAGCAGGAGGGAACACUGAACCUGCGCCAUUAAGAAGCAAGUGCAUGCACCAAUCUCCUGCUGAGUGGACCCAGCUCUGGAAAGGUAACCAUUCAUGAGCCUGAGGCUGUGAGAAAUGCUUGCUGUACAAAGGGGAACUCACCACAUUUUCUGAAGCUGUCCUAGAAGUACACUUUUCAGAUUGAUUCAACAUUAUCAGCUUAUCCAGAAAAAAGUAUUAACAAACACAUUAACAACGUCGAAAGUAGCCUACUUUAAGAGAAAAUAUGCAGAAGAAGAA
Molecule: long non-coding RNA, 415 nt
Organism: Erinaceus europaeus (western European hedgehog)
Lineage: Eukaryota; Metazoa; Chordata; Mammalia; Eulipotyphla; Erinaceidae
Exons: 3
Source: RefSeq, a predicted model, not a curated record